AACCAUCGGCCGGGAAUCAAACCCGGGGCGCCCGCGUGGCAGGCGAGAAUUCUACCACUGAACCAAAGGCAAACGGU
RNAcentral lists this transfer RNA (77 nucleotides) under Cordylochernes scorpioides. Its description in RNAcentral is "tRNA-Gly". The record is from RNAcentral. Lineage: Eukaryota; Metazoa; Arthropoda; Arachnida; Pseudoscorpiones; Chernetidae.